AGAGGAGUGUAGGUUGCGUAAAAAGAUUUCUAAUCUUAUUUAUGAGCAGUUCAAUUCUGUUUUUUCCUUUA
Molecule: transfer RNA, 71 nt
Filed under: Saxidomus purpurata
Lineage: Eukaryota; Metazoa; Mollusca; Bivalvia; Venerida; Veneridae
Description: Saxidomus purpuratus tRNA-Ser
Source: RNAcentral